AGAGGGAGGCUCAGGGCUCAGCCUCCUGCCCACCCACCGAUGUCACAGACACACUCCUGGCCUGCCACCUCCGGUCCCUCUCCCCUCCCCAGUUGCUCCAGCUUCAAGACUAAGGAUGGUGUAUGCACUGCACCUGCACCUAUGACCCUCCCACACAGAGUCCUGUUCCCAACACCCUUCUUCCCACCUCCUGCCAGGUGGCCUCCCUUUGAUCUGCUGGGUGCCACCUGGCACUGACCCCAUGAAUGGCCAGAUGCCGGCCCCACCUCUGCCGGCUGUCCAGCUGACCGCCGUCUCUUAGCCUCUGCAUGUCUCCUCCCACUAGAGCUGCCACCGCCGCACUCAGCACCUCCUUCCUGCACGUCCUGGCUUGGGGCUGCCUCAGGACCCUGUGCAGAUACUCUCAUCCGGGGACAGACGUCCAUCAAACCCGCAACAUAGGGAAAGGACCUCACAUCACCAGGAGGCACUUUUGCCACAAACGUUUAGCGGGCAUAUCAUCACGCUGUCCAGGUCACAUGGAGCACAGAAGGUGGACAGGGAGGGAGACUGUCAGCAUGAGGCAGUCCAUCAGAUCCAGAGUAGGGAUGUUCUAAGGCAGAAUGCCCCGGACUCUUCAAAAAGUCAGCACCACAGUGAAUGGUGGGAAUUCUUCCAGAAGCAGAGGCCAAACCACAAUGUACAACCACACACUGGAUCCUUGUCAGUGGAUAAUCUGAGAAAAGUGUUGGUGUGUCUGAACAUCAGAUCACACCCUGGAAUGACUGAUUUCUAUCCGUUGUGGUUACACAGCAGUGUUCUUGUUCUAGAUUGCUGGUUCUAACAUUGGACCAAGGCUGACCCCAAGGAUGUCCGGAGACAUUCUUGGCUGUUGGCUCUGGGGGAAGGUGCCACUCUCGUCUAGUAUAGAAGCCAGGGAUGCUGUUUACUGUUUUGCAAAGAACCAUGAAGACCUGUCCAGCCAAGAUUCCAGCAUCGCUGCAAUUGAAAACUUUGUUCUAGAGGAAUGCUGAGGGCUUCUGGGGAAGUCGGCGGUGUUGCAUACACUGAUGGACAAAAAGAAUUUUGUCAAAACUUUAAUUACUGAGUGGAGCUGGAGAACGUAUGGGUAUUCAUUAUAGUGUACUUUCAACUUUCCUGUUCAUUUUAAAAAUAAAGUUGGGUAAAAAUAAAA
This is a non-coding RNA of Odocoileus virginianus texanus, 1174 nucleotides long. The record is from RefSeq and is a predicted model, not a curated record. Lineage: Eukaryota; Metazoa; Chordata; Mammalia; Artiodactyla; Cervidae.